AAAAAUCCCAUUUCAUUUUGCAUGGUUACAAAUUCUUACCCUUCUCUUUUGCUCGAAUACAUUAUAUUGCAGAUGAAUUCAAUGAUCAUUUUAAUCCACAAAUUAUCAAAAUAUCAAGUCUUUCUGCUACUACCCAUGAUAACACACCACCUUUUCAGCAGGUACGCGCGGACGUCCUCGCCCUCGUCGUCGACGUCGCCACCGAUGACGAGGUCCGCGCCGCUCACCAGCUUGCACGCUUCAUCGUCAUCGACACUCACCACCUCGAUCCGGCCGUUGCACCGCCUGGCGACGUCCUCCCACCUUGGUCCUCCCUCCCAGCGAGCGGACGAUGAGGCCGAG
This 342-nucleotide long non-coding RNA is filed under the name Oryza sativa Indica Group (long-grained rice). Its description in RNAcentral is "lncRNA OsMH63_01G014740". The record is from RNAcentral. Lineage: Eukaryota; Viridiplantae; Streptophyta; Magnoliopsida; Poales; Poaceae.